Molecule: ribosomal RNA, 1704 nt
Filed under: Staphylococcus aureus
Lineage: Bacteria; Bacillati; Bacillota; Bacilli; Caryophanales; Staphylococcaceae
Description: partial 23S ribosomal RNA
Rfam family: Bacterial large subunit ribosomal RNA
Source: RNAcentral
GUACGACGGAGCACGUGAAAUUCCGUCGGAAUCUGGGAGGACCAUCUCCUAAGGCUAAAUACUCUCUAGUGACCGAUAGUGAACCAGUACCGUGAGGGAAAGGUGAAAAGCACCCCGGAAGGGGAGUGAAAUAGAACCUGAAACCGUGUGCUUACAAGUAGUCAGAGCCCGUUAAUGGGUGAUGGCGUGCCUUUUGUAGAAUGAACCGGCGAGUUACGAUUUGAUGCAAGGUUAAGCAGUAAAUGUGGAGCCGUAGCGAAAGCGAGUCUGAAUAGGGCGUUUAGUAUUUGGUCGUAGACCCGAAACCAGGUGAUCUACCCUUGGUCAGGUUGAAGUUCAGGUAACACUGAAUGGAGGACCGAACCGACUUACGUUGAAAAGUGAGCGGAUGAACUGAGGGUAGCGGAGAAAUUCCAAUCGAACCUGGAGAUAGCUGGUUCUCUCCGAAAUAGCUUUAGGGCUAGCCUCAAGUGAUGAUUAUUGGAGGUAGAGCACUGUUUGGACGAGGGGCCCCUCUCGGGUUACCGAAUUCAGACAAACUCCGAAUGCCAAUUAAUUUAACUUGGGAGUCAGAACAUGGGUGAUAAGGUCCGUGUUCGAAAGGGAAACAGCCCAGACCACCAGCUAAGGUCCCAAAAUAUAUGUUAAGUGGAAAAGGAUGUGGCGUUGCCCAGACAACUAGGAUGUUGGCUUAGAAGCAGCCAUCAUUUAAAGAGUGCGUAAUAGCUCACUAGUCGAGUGACACUGCGCCGAAAAUGUACCGGGGCUAAACAUAUUACCGAAGCUGUGGAUUGUCCUUUGGACAAUGGUAGGAGAGCGUUCUAAGGGCGUUGAAGCAUGAUCGUAAGGACAUGUGGAGCGCUUAGAAGUGAGAAUGCCGGUGUGAGUAGCGAAAGACGGGUGAGAAUCCCGUCCACCGAUUGACUAAGGUUUCCAGAGGAAGGCUCGUCCGCUCUGGGUUAGUCGGGUCCUAAGCUGAGGCCGACAGGCGUAGGCGAUGGAUAACAGGUUGAUAUUCCUGUACCACCUAUAAUCGUUUUAAUCGAUGGGGGGACGCAGUAGGAUAGGCGAAGCGUGCGAUUGGAUUGCACGUCUAAGCAGUAAGGCUGAGUAUUAGGCAAAUCCGGUACUCGUUAAGGCUGAGCUGUGAUGGGGAGAAGACAUUGUGUCUUCGAGUCGUUGAUUUCACACUGCCGAGAAAAGCCUCUAGAUAGAAAAUAGGUGCCCGUACCGCAAACCGACACAGGUAGUCAAGAUGAGAAUUCUAAGGUGAGCGAGCGAACUCUCGUUAAGGAACUCGGCAAAAUGACCCCGUAACUUCGGGAGAAGGGGUGCUCUUUAGGGUUAACGCCCAGAAGAGCCGCAGUGAAUAGGCCCAAGCGACUGUUUAUCAAAAACACAGGUCUCUGCUAAACCGUAAGGUGAUGUAUAGGGGCUGACGCCUGCCCGGUGCUGGAAGGUUAAGAGGAGUGGUUAGCUUCUGCGAAGCUACGAAUCGAAGCCCCAGUAAACGGCGGCCGUAACUAUAACGGUCCUAAGGUAGCGAAAUUCCUUGUCGGGUAAGUUCCGACCCGCACGAAAGGCGUAACGAUUUGGGCACUGUCUCAACGAGAGACUCGGUGAAAUCAUAGUACCUGUGAAGAUGCAGGUUACCCGCGACAGGACGGAAAGACCCCGUGGAGCUUUACUGUAGCCUGAUAUUGA